CCUACGGUGUGCAGCAGUGGGGAAUAUUGGACAAUGGGCGAAAGCCUGAUCCAGCCAUGCCGCGUGUGUGAAGAAGGCCUUCGGGUUGUAAAGCACUUUCAGUGGGGAAGAAAGCCUUGGGGCUAAUACCCUCGAGGAAGGACAUCACCCACAGAAGAAGCACCGGCUAACUCCGUGCCAGCAGCCGCGGUAAUACGGAGGGUGCGAGCGUUAAUCGGAAUUACUGGGCGUAAAGCGCGCGUAGGCGGUCUGAUAAGCCGGUUGUGAAAGCCCCGGGCUCAACCUGGGAACGGCAUCCGGAACUGUCAGGCUAGAGUGCAGGAGAGGAAGGUAGAAUUCCCGGUGUAGCGGUGAAAUUCGUAGAGAUCGGGAGGAAUACCAGUGGCGAAGGCGGCCUUCUGGACUGACACUGACGCUGAGGUGCGAAAGCGUGGGUAGCAAACAGGAUUAGAUACCCUUGUAGUC
RNAcentral lists this ribosomal RNA (465 nucleotides) under Vreelandella stevensii. Its description in RNAcentral is "partial 16S ribosomal RNA". It matches the Rfam family "Bacterial small subunit ribosomal RNA", at positions 338 to 795 of the family's 1533-position model. The record is from RNAcentral. Lineage: Bacteria; Pseudomonadati; Pseudomonadota; Gammaproteobacteria; Oceanospirillales; Halomonadaceae.